This 1543-nucleotide ribosomal RNA is filed under the name Salmonella enterica subsp. enterica serovar Thompson. RNAcentral's name for it is "bacterial SSU rRNA". It matches the Rfam family "Bacterial small subunit ribosomal RNA". Lineage: Bacteria; Pseudomonadati; Pseudomonadota; Gammaproteobacteria; Enterobacterales; Enterobacteriaceae. The record is from RNAcentral.
AAAUUGAAGAGUUUGAUCAUGGCUCAGAUUGAACGCUGGCGGCAGGCCUAACACAUGCAAGUCGAACGGUAACAGGAAGCAGCUUGCUGCUUCGCUGACGAGUGGCGGACGGGUGAGUAAUGUCUGGGAAACUGCCUGAUGGAGGGGGAUAACUACUGGAAACGGUGGCUAAUACCGCAUAACGUCGCAAGACCAAAGAGGGGGACCUUCGGGCCUCUUGCCAUCAGAUGUGCCCAGAUGGGAUUAGCUUGUUGGUGAGGUAACGGCUCACCAAGGCGACGAUCCCUAGCUGGUCUGAGAGGAUGACCAGCCACACUGGAACUGAGACACGGUCCAGACUCCUACGGGAGGCAGCAGUGGGGAAUAUUGCACAAUGGGCGCAAGCCUGAUGCAGCCAUGCCGCGUGUAUGAAGAAGGCCUUCGGGUUGUAAAGUACUUUCAGCGGGGAGGAAGGUGUUGUGGUUAAUAACCGCAGCAAUUGACGUUACCCGCAGAAGAAGCACCGGCUAACUCCGUGCCAGCAGCCGCGGUAAUACGGAGGGUGCAAGCGUUAAUCGGAAUUACUGGGCGUAAAGCGCACGCAGGCGGUCUGUCAAGUCGGAUGUGAAAAACCCCGGGCUCAACCUGGGAACUGCAUUCGAAACUGGCAGGCUUGAGUCUUGUAGAGGGGGGUAGAAUUCCAGGUGUAGCGGUGAAAUGCGUAGAGAUCUGGAGGAAUACCGGUGGCGAAGGCGGCCCCCUGGACAAAGACUGACGCUCAGGUGCGAAAGCGUGGGGAGCAAACAGGAUUAGAUACCCUGGUAGUCCACGCCGUAAACGAUGUCUACUUGGAGGUUGUGCCCUUGAGGCGUGGCUUCCGGAGCUAACGCGUUAAGUAGACCGCCUGGGGAGUACGGCCGCAAGGUUAAAACUCAAAUGAAUUGACGGGGGCCCGCACAAGCGGUGGAGCAUGUGGUUUAAUUCGAUGCAACGCGAAGAACCUUACCUGGUCUUGACAUCCACAGAACUUUCCAGAGAUGGAUUGGUGCCUUCGGGAACUGUGAGACAGGUGCUGCAUGGCUGUCGUCAGCUCGUGUUGUGAAAUGUUGGGUUAAGUCCCGCAACGAGCGCAACCCUUAUCCUUUGUUGCCAGCGGUCCGGCCGGGAACUCAAAGGAGACUGCCAGUGAUAAACUGGAGGAAGGUGGGGAUGACGUCAAGUCAUCAUGGCCCUUACGACCAGGGCUACACACGUGCUACAAUGGCGCAUACAAAGAGAAGCGACCUCGCGAGAGCAAGCGGACCUCAUAAAGUGCGUCGUAGUCCGGAUUGGAGUCUGCAACUCGACUCCAUGAAGUCGGAAUCGCUAGUAAUCGUGGAUCAGAAUGCCACGGUGAAUACGUUCCCGGGCCUUGUACACACCGCCCGUCACACCAUGGGAGUGGGUUGCAAAAGAAGUAGGUAGCUUAACCUUCGGGAGGGCGCUUACCACUUUGUGAUUCAUGACUGGGGUGAAGUCGUAACAAGGUAACCGUAGGGGAACCUGCGGUUGGAUCACCUCCUUA